GGAUGCAGGGCUGGGAGGUGAGGAAGCCCCGAAAGCUUCUUCCGUUCUCUUUCCCCAG
RNAcentral lists this microRNA precursor (58 nucleotides) under Mus pahari (shrew mouse). RNAcentral describes it as "microRNA 7048 (MGP_PahariEiJ_G0007084.1)". Lineage: Eukaryota; Metazoa; Chordata; Mammalia; Rodentia; Muridae. The record is from RNAcentral.